AGUGAACGCUGGCGGUAGGCCUAACACAUGCAAGUCGAACGGCAGCACAGUAAGAGCUUGCUCUUACGGGUGGCGAGUGGCGGACGGGUGAGGAAUACAUCGGAAUCUACUUUUUCGUGGGGGAUAACGUAGGGAAACUUACGCUAAUACCGCAUACGACCUACGGGUGAAAGCAGGGGAUCUUCGGACCUUGCGCGAUUGAAUGAGCCGAUGUCGGAUUAGCUAGUUGGCGGGGUAAAGGCCCACCAAGGCGACGAUCCGUAGCUGGUCUGAGAGGAUGAUCAGCCACACUGGAACUGAGACACGGUCCAGACUCCUACGGGAGGCAGCAGUGGGGAAUAUUGGACAAUGGGCGCAAGCCUGAUCCAGCCAUACCGCGUGGGUGAAGAAGGCCUUCGGGUUGUAAAGCCCUUUUGUUGGGAAAGAAAAGCAGCAGGUUAACACCCCGCUGUUCUGACGGUACCCAAAGAAUAAGCACCGGCUAACUUCAUG
This 492-nucleotide ribosomal RNA is filed under the name uncultured bacterium. RNAcentral describes it as "partial 16S ribosomal RNA". It matches the Rfam family "Bacterial small subunit ribosomal RNA", at positions 29 to 507 of the family's 1533-position model. The record is from RNAcentral.